ACGCUCGACACCUACGGGAGCAGCAGUGGGGAAUAUUGCACAAUGGGGGGAACCCUGAUGCAGCGACGCCGCGUGAGUGAAGAAGUACUUCGGUAUGUAAAGCUCUAUCAGCAGGGAAGAAAAUGACGGUACCUGACUAAGAAGCCCCGGCUAACUACGUGCCAGCAGCCGCAGUAAUCUGAGCGGGCUGGCAAGGC
Molecule: ribosomal RNA, 197 nt
Filed under: uncultured bacterium
Lineage: Bacteria
Description: partial 16S ribosomal RNA
Rfam family: Bacterial small subunit ribosomal RNA
Source: RNAcentral